This 87-nucleotide transfer RNA is filed under the name Candidatus Alectryobacillus merdavium. Its description in RNAcentral is "tRNA-Leu". It matches the Rfam family "tRNA". From Rfam's summary of the family: Transfer RNA (tRNA) molecules are approximately 80 nucleotides in length. Their secondary structure includes four short double-helical elements and three loops (D, anti-codon, and T loops). Lineage: Bacteria; Bacillati; Bacillota; Bacilli. The record is from RNAcentral.
GUUUCUGUGGCGGAAUUGGUAGACGCGCAAGUUUCAGAAGCUUGUAACUGCAAAGUUGUGAGAGUUCAAAUCUCUUCAGAAACACCA